Long non-coding RNA from Mastomys coucha (southern multimammate mouse), 2025 nucleotides. RefSeq lists it as uncharacterized. The record is from RefSeq and is a predicted model, not a curated record. NCBI's taxonomy places the organism in Eukaryota, Metazoa, Chordata, Mammalia, Rodentia, Muridae. The transcript is spliced from 4 exons.
AGAAGUUCAAGAGGCCAUUGUGUGAAGCUGUUAAAGGUCAUUGUGAGAAGCUGUGACAUUAAAGUCUGGGUUGCCCAGGAGAUGCCAGACUCAUGGCAUAUCUGUCAAGGAAAAGUACUAACUGGGAGUGGAACUAGCUCACAAGAAAGACAAGAGUUACAGUCAAUGAAGAUAAAAGGGGUUGGAUAUCUGAUGAACUCCUUGACAUCAGACAUGAACAUGGAAGGUUUGGAAGGUCUGUACUAGUCAGUUUAUUGAAUUCACUGAAAUGCUUCUAGUCUCAGGUUGAUGAGGAAAAAUGUGAACGCUAACUUGCCGCAGGCAGGCUACAUUAAAAGGGAGAGAAUAAGAGAGCCAGUAUUUUAAAAUGCAUCAGAGAUGCUUCAGUCAGCAAAAGGCCUGCAGUACAAUUAUGAAGACCUCAUUUUGGAAGCCAGAACCCAUGUAAAAAUAAGAAGCAUGAUCGAUCCUGUACAUCUAUAUCCCUAAAGAUGGGAGAUGCAAGGCUCUCAAAGUUUCUGGUUAGCAAGUAGGCAAUUGUUGAGGUGCAAAUUUAUUAAGAAACAGCGAUAUGGAGAGCAAAGAAGGGAUUUUUAGUAUACUGCACAUAUUGAAAUACAAGCACACAAAAUUACCUGUGGAGGAAGCAAUGGCAAUCUUAUGAAGGCAAGGAGCAUACUCAGGUCGCUGCAUCUCCGCUGCAUGUCAUACUUGACCCACAUCAUUAAUGCAUGGAAGAUGGUCUCUUCAUCAGGAACAUUUACAUCAUCACUGGCCAGUAGUUUAUGGAGCUCUUCAGCUGGAAGGAGUAAAAACUCUUGAUUUCUGAUUACUUCCAUUAUGUUUUCCUGUGGGGAGAAAAGAUCCUGGCAUAAAUUCUGCUUCACUUCUGUGUAGCUGGCAAAGCAUCUCAGAGAAAAAUGUGAAAAGCAGUCAAUAACCUUUGUUCUCAUUAUAACAUAAUCCUUGAGACUCAUCCUUCAGAAACAAGAAGCUGUUAAGAAGAAAGCAUUGUAAUUUUAAUUGAAGUGUAAAUGUGAGACAGCAGAGAUUUUAUAAUAACUGGAGGAUUAUAAUGCAUAGCUUUGUUAUGCAGAAUGUUCUGUGAUUAAAUGUUCAAGUUUCAAGUGUACUACUAUGUAAGAUUUAGCAAAUGUGUAAAGAAUAACACUUCAAACUUUCAAAGGUUCAACUACACAUACACAAAUCAGAAAAUGGCAAUACAUUACAAAGAGAAAUAGAAAACAAGAUAGCUUUGUUGUUUCUUUGGAAGGGGAAGAAAGACAGCUGAGAAGCCCAGGAAGCUACAUAGUCAUAGGAGCUCCACUCACCACUCCACUCACCACGUUCUCUUUUAAUUAUUUCCUCUUAUGACAAUUUCUUUGAAUUAAAUGGUUGCUGUUGUUGUUGCUUAUGUUUUUAAAUUAUUAUUUAUAAUAAUAUUUAUUCUCUAUUUUAUUCAAGUCACAAAUAUAUUAAGACUCAUAAACAUAUAGCCAUAUGUGGCCUUGGAGUUAAUAUAGUCAUUUCAAAGGACCAUCCUUAAAUAAUAGCAUACACCAGGGGAGGAUGAAUAAAUGAGUUUGGAGGUUCUACUUCGAGCUCUUCCCUCAGUAAUACAAAAGGGCCUUGUAUGCUUUGUUUUAAAUAGCGUCUUGGCAAUUAUAUUAAAAUCCAAACAAUAAAAGAAAUUAAAGAAAUGACUUAUACAGGUUAAACAGAACAUUUGAAGCUUACCAAGUUGAAUUUUCCUUUAUUGUUUGAGCAACCGUAAAAGAUAAUAAUGUGUUUUGAUCUGUUCUCCAUUAUUGAAGAAUAGAUAACCUUUCAAUAUCCCCAUCCCUGGAGAAAAAUUGACUUUCCAGGUACCAUUAACCAUUAAGUUUGGCUUAAUUUUGAUUCCUAUUUACAUUCAUUCAGCUUGUGUUUUCUCCCAAUUGAUCUCCCUGUAUCUCCCUGAUUUCCCUGUACUCUGAGCUUCUUAGUUAAAUCUCCCAUAAUAAAGUCAACACGGUUUUAAAUGAG